Molecule: unclassified non-coding RNA, 707 nt
Filed under: Hevea brasiliensis (rubber tree)
Lineage: Eukaryota; Viridiplantae; Streptophyta; Magnoliopsida; Malpighiales; Euphorbiaceae
Source: RNAcentral
GAACAUUGCAGUUACUCAACGGAAGGGGAAGUGAUCUGAGUGAGAUUAUCCUAAAUGGUGUAAGGAUGCUCAAAGUACACAUUUUAGAUGCACACUAUCUUUUGUACAAAAGGAAGUGGGAAGUGAGGAUGUCAACUACAGAAUUAAAAUAGGUUGGGUGAAGUGAAGUGAAAAGAUGCAUUCUUUUUUAUUGCAAAUAUGGCUUAGUGGAAGGAGAAGUCUUGAUGGGAUGAUGAUUCAACCAACUAUGAUAUGUGGCAGCGGGUGUUUGGUGAUGAGAAAAUGACAUGAUUACAAGAUCAACAUGGAAGAAAUGACAUCGCUAAAAUGCAUAUAUGAAACUAUAAGAAUGGACUGGAAGGAAUGAAUGCAUUUGUUAAAAAGGGGAAAUGGCACCUAUUGAGGAAAAAUUAAGGUGAGAGAUCGAGAUGUUGUGGACACAUGCAUCAGAGACUAACAAAUGCAUUAUUAAGGAAGGUUGAGCUCAUUAAAGUUGUAGGGGUAUAAGCAAGCUAGGCUAAGGCCUAAGACUACAUGAAGGAAUUAGUAAAAAGGAUUGAGUGGGCCCAGACCUUUUUGAAGAUGUAGAAGAAAAAAUGUUGUGUUUCCACUUCUUAUCAAAUAGGGGAAAAAAUGCUAUUAUGUUUGCAGGCAGGAUGGAGGGACUCUUGAGCUUCGUAUGCUAUUUGCAACCUGGUGACAAGUUG